AGAUUGAACGCUGGCGGCAUGCUUUACACAUGCAAGUCGAACGGUAACAGGUCUUCGGAUGCUGACGAGUGGCGAACGGGUGAGUAAUACAUCGGAACGUGCCUAGUAGUGGGGGAUAACUACUCGAAAGAGUAGCUAAUACCGCAUGAGAUCUACGGAUGAAAGCAGGGGACCUUCGGGCCUUGUGCUACUAGAGCGGCUGAUGGCAGAUUAGGUAGUUGGUGGGGUAAAGGCUUACCAAGCCUGCGAUCUGUAGCUGGUCUGAGAGGACGACCAGCCACACUGGGACUGAGACACGGCCCAGACUCCUACGGGAGGCAGCAGUGGGGAAUUUUGGACAAUGGGCGAAAGCCUGAUCCAGCAAUGCCGCGUGCAGGAUGAAGGCCCUCGGGUUGUAAACUGCUUUUGUACGGAACGAAAAGCCUGGGGCUAAUAUCCCCGGGUCAUGACGGUACCGUAAGAAUAAGCACCGGCUAACUACGUGCCAGCAGCCGCGGUAAUACGUAGGGUGCAAGCGUUAAUCGGAAUUACUGGGCGUAAAGCGUGCGCAGGCGGUUUUGUAAGACAGUGGUGAAAUCCCCGGGCUCAACCUGGGAACUGCCAUUGUGACUGCAAGGCUAGAGUGCGGCAGAGGGGGAUGGAAUUCCGCGUGUAGCAGUGAAAUGCGUAGAUAUGCGGAGGAACACCGAUGGCGAAGGCAAUCCCCUGGGCCUGCACUGACG
This 722-nucleotide ribosomal RNA is filed under the name Comamonas sp. CCM-031. Its description in RNAcentral is "bacterial SSU rRNA". It matches the Rfam family "Bacterial small subunit ribosomal RNA", at positions 26 to 745 of the family's 1533-position model. The record is from RNAcentral. Lineage: Bacteria; Pseudomonadati; Pseudomonadota; Betaproteobacteria; Burkholderiales; Comamonadaceae.